Molecule: unclassified non-coding RNA, 200 nt
Filed under: soil metagenome
Description: partial contains internal transcribed spacer 2 and large subunit ribosomal RNA
Source: RNAcentral
AGUGGUUUGGAUGUGGGGGGUUUGCUGGCCUUUAUGAAGGUUCAGCUCCCCUGAAAUGCAUUAGCAGAACAACCUGUUCAUUCAUUGGUGUGAUAACUAUCUACGCUACUGAGUGCGAGGCAGUUCAGCUCCUAAUCGUCCUUGGACAAUUUAUCAUUUUAUGUGACCUCAAAUCAGGUAGGACUACCCGCUGAACUUAA